CGGGGGGGGCAAGCGUUGUUCGGAAUUACUGGGCGUAAAGGGCUCGUAGGCGGCCAACUAAGUCAGACGUGAAAUCCCCAGGCUCAACCUGGGAACUGCGUCUGAUACUGGAUGGCUUGAAUUCGGGAGAGGGAUGCAGAAUUCCAGGUGUAGCGGUGAAAUGCGUAGAUAUCUGGAGGAAUACCGGUGGCGAAGGCGGCAUCCUGGACCGACAUUGACGCUGAGGAGCGAAAGCUAGGGGAGCGAAACGGGAUUAGAUACCCCGGUAGUCCUAGCCCUAAACGAUGAAUGCUUGGUGUAACGGGUAUCGAUCCCUGUUGUGCCGAAGCUAACGCAUUAAGCAUUCCGCCUGGGGAGUACGGUCGCAAGGCUG
This 373-nucleotide ribosomal RNA is filed under the name uncultured organism. Its description in RNAcentral is "bacterial SSU rRNA". It matches the Rfam family "Bacterial small subunit ribosomal RNA", at positions 526 to 896 of the family's 1533-position model. The record is from RNAcentral.